RNAcentral lists this long non-coding RNA (680 nucleotides) under Numida meleagris (helmeted guineafowl). RNAcentral describes it as "lncRNA (ENSNMEG00000023172.1)". Lineage: Eukaryota; Metazoa; Chordata; Aves; Galliformes; Numididae. The record is from RNAcentral.
AAAUCUAUUUUCUAAGGCCCUUCUGAAAUCAAGUAGGAGCCAAACUAAGGCUACGUUGUUCCUCGAAGCAUAGUAUGGAGUCUUCUAAGGAGAAAGCUGGAAGUUGUGGGCAUGUUUCCAUCUCUUAUAGCUCAUCCCACGACUGGCUGUGCCUCUUUGGGAUUCAAAUGUUAGUGGGAAACACCCUCCUCUCCGCCUGGAGGCAAAGAUCACCACAAGUGCGCACCGACGCGCUCCUGCUGCCGUUUCCUUGCUGACAUAACCGGGAAGAAUUCCCUCGGCAGCUCCGUGGGCCGUGCACGGCUCUAUGAGGAGCACUUCCUAACUACCAGAAAGAUUAAAAUCAGCAUCUGCUACUUAAAGUAGUUGGAUUCCUGCUGUAGGCUUUACCCUGGUGUGUACUCCAAGUCAAACAAUACUGUGGUUGUGAAUCGUUGUCUCUCUUGCAGCCUUAUUUCUCAUUCUUGGCUUGUGUCCUAGAAUGGGAUCCAGAGCAGUUACUGACUACAGCAAUACAACAGAAAACGCACCACACAAGACAACAAUUGCACAAUCCCCUUGCAAGCACACUGCUCCUGUUGUGUGUUUAUGCAGAGCUGGCCCCAGAAUGCAGGUAGUUUAAAUCCCCCAGAAUGAAAAGUUAAAAAAAACAACAACACCCAAACAAAAACUUGACCUCC